This 78-nucleotide ribozyme is filed under the name Crocodylus porosus (Australian saltwater crocodile). Its description in RNAcentral is "Mammalian CPEB3 ribozyme (ENSCPRG00005014376.1)". The stretch from base 9 to 78 matches the Rfam family "Mammalian CPEB3 ribozyme". Rfam says of the family: The mammalian CPEB3 ribozyme is a self cleaving RNA located in the second intron of the CPEB3 gene which belongs to a family of genes regulating messenger RNA polyadenylation. This ribozyme is highly conserved and found only in mammals. There is currently only one other known self cleaving ribozyme in mammals, the CoTC motif. The record is from Rfam by way of RNAcentral. Lineage: Eukaryota; Metazoa; Chordata; Crocodylia; Crocodylidae.
CUACCUCCAUAAUGGCCAUAGCAGAAGCGUUCACAUCGUGGACCCUGUCAGAUUCCAAUGAAUCUGCUAAAUUCUGCU